GUAAGCGUGCGCAGGCGGUUUGUAAGACUGUCGUGAAAUCCCCGGGCUCAACCUGGGAAUGGCGAUGGUGACUGCAAGGCUAGAGUUUGGCAGAGGGGGGUAGAAUUCCACGUGUAGCAGUGAAAUGCGUAGAUAUGUGGAGGAACACCGAUGGCGAAGGCAGCCCCCUGGGUCAAAACUGACGCUCAUGCACGAAAGCGUGGGGAGCAAACAGGAUUAGAUACCCGUGU
This 230-nucleotide ribosomal RNA is filed under the name uncultured bacterium. Its description in RNAcentral is "partial 16S ribosomal RNA". It matches the Rfam family "Bacterial small subunit ribosomal RNA", at positions 563 to 791 of the family's 1533-position model. The record is from RNAcentral.